This 2779-nucleotide ribosomal RNA is filed under the name Escherichia coli KTE1. RNAcentral's name for it is "bacterial LSU rRNA". It matches the Rfam family "Bacterial large subunit ribosomal RNA". The record is from RNAcentral. Lineage: Bacteria; Pseudomonadati; Pseudomonadota; Gammaproteobacteria; Enterobacterales; Enterobacteriaceae.
ACCCAGUGUGAUUCGUCACACUAUCAUUAACUGAAUCCAUAGGUUAAUGAGGCGAACCGGGGGAACUGAAACAUCUAAGUACCCCGAGGAAAAGAAAUCAACCGAGAUUCCCCCAGUAGCGGCGAGCGAACGGGGAGCAGCCCAGAGCCUGAAUCAGUGUGUGUGUUAGUGGAAGCGUCUGGAAAGGCGCGCGAUACAGGGUGACAGCCCCGUACACAAAAAUGCACAUACUGUGAGCUCGAUGAGUAGGGCGGGACACGUGGUAUCCUGUCUGAAUAUGGGGGGACCAUCCUCCAAGGCUAAAUACUCCUGACUGACCGAUAGUGAACCAGUACCGUGAGGGAAAGGCGAAAAGAACCCCGGCGAGGGGAGUGAAAAAGAACCUGAAACCGUGUACGUACAAGCAGUGGGAGCCUCUUUAUGGGGUGACUGCGUACCUUUUGUAUAAUGGGUCAGCGACUUAUAUUCUGUAGCAAGGUUAACCGAAUAGGGGAGCCGAAGGGAAACCGAGUCUUAACUGGGCGUUAAGUUGCAGGGUAUAGACCCGAAACCCGGUGAUCUAGCCAUGGGCAGGUUGAAGGUUGGGUAACACUAACUGGAGGACCGAACCGACUAAUGUUGAAAAAUUAGCGGAUGACUUGUGGCUGGGGGGGAAAGGCCAAUCAAACCGGGAGAUAGCUGGUUCUCCCCGAAAGCUAUUUAGGUAGCGCCUCGUGAAUUCAUCUCCGGGGGUAGAGCACUGUUUCGGCAAGGGGGUCAUCCCGACUUACCAACCCGAUGCAAACUGCGAAUACCGGAGAAUGUUAUCACGGGAGACACACGGCGGGUGCUAACGUCCGUCGUGAAGAGGGAAACAACCCAGACCGCCAGCUAAGGUCCCAAAGUCAUGGUUAAGUGGGAAACGAUGUGGGAAGGCCCAGACAGCCAGGAUGUUGGCUUAGAAGCAGCCAUCAUUUAAAGAAAGCGUAAUAGCUCACUGGUCGAGUCGGCCUGCGCGGAAGAUGUAACGGGGCUAAACCAUGCACCGAAGCUGCGGCAGCGACGCUUAUGCGUUGUUGGGUAGGGGAGCGUUCUGUAAGCCUGCGAAGGUGUACUGUGAGGUAUGCUGGAGGUAUCAGAAGUGCGAAUGCUGACAUAAGUAACGAUAAAGCGGGUGAAAAGCCCGCUCGCCGGAAGACCAAGGGUUCCUGUCCAACGUUAAUCGGGGCAGGGUGAGUCGACCCCUAAGGCGAGGCCGAAAGGCGUAGUCGAUGGGAAACAGGUUAAUAUUCCUGUACUUGGUGUUACUGCGAAGGGGGGACGGAGAAGGCUAUGUUGGCCGGGCGACGGUUGUCCCGGUUUAAGCGUGUAGGCUGGUUUUCCAGGCAAAUCCGGAAAAUCAAGGCUGAGGCGUGAUGACGAGGCACUACGGUGCUGAAGCAACAAAUGCCCUGCUUCCAGGAAAAGCCUCUAAGCAUCAGGUAACAUCAAAUCGUACCCCAAACCGACACAGGUGGUCAGGUAGAGAAUACCAAGGCGCUUGAGAGAACUCGGGUGAAGGAACUAGGCAAAAUGGUGCCGUAACUUCGGGAGAAGGCACGCUGAUAUGUAGGUGAAGCGACUUGCUCGUGGAGCUGAAAUCAGUCGAAGAUACCAGCUGGCUGCAACUGUUUAUUAAAAACACAGCACUGUGCAAACACGAAAGUGGACGUAUACGGUGUGACGCCUGCCCGGUGCCGGAAGGUUAAUUGAUGGGGUUAGCGGUAACGCGAAGCUCUUGAUCGAAGCCCCGGUAAACGGCGGCCGUAACUAUAACGGUCCUAAGGUAGCGAAAUUCCUUGUCGGGUAAGUUCCGACCUGCACGAAUGGCGUAAUGAUGGCCAGGCUGUCUCCACCCGAGACUCAGUGAAAUUGAACUCGCUGUGAAGAUGCAGUGUACCCGCGGCAAGACGGAAAGACCCCGUGAACCUUUACUAUAGCUUGACACUGAACAUUGAGCCUUGAUGUGUAGGAUAGGUGGGAGGCUUUGAAGUGUGGACGCCAGUCUGCAUGGAGCCGACCUUGAAAUACCACCCUUUAAUGUUUGAUGUUCUAACGUUGGCCCCUAAUCGGGGUUGCGGACAGUGUCUGGUGGGUAGUUUGACUGGGGCGGUCUCCUCCUAAAGAGUAACGGAGGAGCACGAAGGUUGGCUAAUCCUGGUCGGACAUCAGGAGGUUAGUGCAAUGGCAUAAGCCAGCUUGACUGCGAGCGUGACGGCGCGAGCAGGUGCGAAAGCAGGUCAUAGUGAUCCGGUGGUUCUGAAUGGAAGGGCCAUCGCUCAACGGAUAAAAGGUACUCCGGGGAUAACAGGCUGAUACCGCCCAAGAGUUCAUAUCGACGGCGGUGUUUGGCACCUCGAUGUCGGCUCAUCACAUCCUGGGGCUGAAGUAGGUCCCAAGGGUAUGGCUGUUCGCCAUUUAAAGUGGUACGCGAGCUGGGUUUAGAACGUCGUGAGACAGUUCGGUCCCUAUCUGCCGUGGGCGCUGGAGAACUGAGGGGGGCUGCUCCUAGUACGAGAGGACCGGAGUGGACGCAUCACUGGUGUUCGGGUUGUCAUGCCAAUGGCACUGCCCGGUAGCUAAAUGCGGAAGAGAUAAGUGCUGAAAGCAUCUAAGCACGAAACUUGCCCCGAGAUGAGUUCUCCCUGACUCCCUGAGAGUCCUGAAGGAACGUUGAAGACGACGACGUUGAUAGGCCGGGUGUGUAAGCGCAGCGAUGCGUUGAGCUAACCGGUACUAAUGAACCGUGAGGCUUAACCUU